This 688-nucleotide ribosomal RNA is filed under the name uncultured bacterium. RNAcentral's name for it is "bacterial SSU rRNA". It matches the Rfam family "Bacterial small subunit ribosomal RNA", at positions 140 to 805 of the family's 1533-position model. The record is from RNAcentral.
UGGACAACAUCCCGAAAGGGGUGCUAAUACCGAAUGUGCUAGCAAUCUCGCAUGAGGAUGCUGUGAAAGAUGGCCUCUAUUUAUAAGCUAUCGCUAGAGGAUGGGCCUGCGUCUGAUUAGCUAGUUGGUGGGGUAACGGCCUACCAAGGCGAUGAUCAGUAGCCGGUCUGAGAGGAUGAACGGCCACAUUGGGACUGAGACACGGCCCAGACUCCUACGGGAGGCAGCAGUGGGGAAUCUUCCGCAAUGGGCGAAAGCCUGACGGAGCAAUGCCGCGCGAGUGAUGAAGGAAUUCGUUCCGUAAAGCUCUUUUGUUUAUGACGAAUGUGCAGAUUGUGAAUAAUGACUUGUAAUGACGGUAGUAAACGAAUAAGCCACGGCUAACUACGUGCCAGCAGCCGCGGUAAUACGUAGGUGGCGAGCGUUGUCCGGAAUUAUUGGGCGUAAAGAGCAUGUAGGCGGUUUUUUAAGUCUGGAGUGAAAAUGCGGGGCUCAACCCCGUAUGGCUCUGGAUACUGGAAGACUUGAGCGCAGGAGAGGAAAGGGGAAUUCCCAGUGUAGCGGUGAAAUGCGUAGAUAUUGGGAGGAACACCAGUGGCGAAGGCGCCUUUCUGGACUGUGUCUGACGCUGAGAUGCGAAAGCCAGGGUAGCGAACGGGAUUAGAUACCCCGGUAGUCCUGGCCGUAA